RNAcentral lists this long non-coding RNA (449 nucleotides) under Sinocyclocheilus anshuiensis. RNAcentral's name for it is "lncRNA (ENSSANG00000047121.1)". Lineage: Eukaryota; Metazoa; Chordata; Actinopteri; Cypriniformes; Cyprinidae. The record is from RNAcentral.
AAUAUUUUUAUAUACAUUCCCCAUUUUUCCCCUUAGAACCAAACAGGAGAGAUCAGACUCACCGACAUCAUCACAUCUGUCUCUAAAGAGUGGGAGAUCAAUUCCAUUACCAAUGAACUUCAGUGAUGAAGAACAGAGAAAUAAAGAAAGAACCAAACAGGAGAGAUCAGACUCACCGACAUCAUCAUAUCUGUCUUUGAGAAGUGGGAGAUCGAUUCCAUUACCAAUGAACUUCAGCAGUGAAGCACAGAGAAAUAAAGAAAGAAAGCUGUGUGUGGAAGACACAGAAGAGCAGACAGAGUCCACACCUGCUAAAGGAGUCUGUCAGCGGCACCACAGAGAUCUGGAAGUGUUCUGUAAGACAGAUAACAUGCACAUCUGUGCCAAAUGUGUGGGCCAAGAGCACCAAGGACACAGUAAAAUCUAUACUGUGAAACCUAAUGUGCCAG